Molecule: long non-coding RNA, 839 nt
Organism: Papaver somniferum (opium poppy)
Lineage: Eukaryota; Viridiplantae; Streptophyta; Magnoliopsida; Ranunculales; Papaveraceae
Exons: 3
Source: RefSeq, a predicted model, not a curated record
UUUCUUUUUCUUUCUUUCAGUUUCUCAGUUUCUCUAGUGGUAGUAGCGGCCGCUUCUUCUUCUUCCUCUCAGUCACAGACUCAGAUUCUCACUUUCUCAGUUUCAGUAUCGUUCAUGAUCAUCGAACACAAGAACAACAACAAGUAACUGAAGCAAUAUGGAAGAACCAAGUCAAGACACACAUCAAACUGGAGUUGGAUCAUCUAAUGUACCUAGUCAAUCUACAACUGGGGAAGGAUAUACUAGCAACGUCGGUGUCUUCUGUUGCAUCGGAAUCAACAUUCAGCACUGGAAAGCGUGUGCUUAGUCCUUAGAGAAGCUCUUUAUCUCCUAGGACAGUUGAAGCAUUGUUAUGCACACAAAGCUGGCUACAAAAGCCAAUUGCUCUUGAUCUUCUAUCGGACUAUGUACCAGAUGAUUUCUCAAGCAUUGAGGAAGCAAUAUUGGGUGCUUAUCCAGUAUCAGAGGAGUUUGAUGAUCCAAUGAUGCUUGACUAAUGAAGUAAUGAUUGUUGAAGUUCAUAUCUUGUUGCAGACUUGAGAUGGAAAGGAAAUAUGGUCUAUGGAAGUGCUGGUUUACAUUUAACACUUUAUGUUAAUUUUUGAACAUUAAGUGUUAUGUUAGUUGGUCACUUGGUCUUGAUCUUGAAGAACUUAAGCAGUUGGAUGAUUGCAGUACUCUUGCAGACUUGGCAGACUUGCAGUAACUUACUUUGAACUUAUGUCAUACUUUGAAGUUGGUUUUUAUCAGUUUAUGGAAUUAUGUUAGUUGGUUUUAAAGAACUUAUGUUAAUUAUGUCUAUGUUGUUAUGUUAUUAUGCUGUAUGAAUGGUUGUGGCA